UACGAAGGGUGCAAGCGUUACUCGGAAUUACUGGGCGUAAAGCGUGCGUAGGUGGUGCGUUAAGUCUGUCGUGAAAGCCCCGGGCUCAACCUGGGAAUGGCGAUGGAUACUGGCGCGCUAGAGUGCGGUAGAGGAGAGUGGAAUUCCCGGUGUAGCAGUGAAAUGCGUAGAUAUCGGGAGGAACACCAGUGGCGAAGGCGACUACCUGGACCAGCACUGACACUGAGGCACGAAAGCUUGGGGAGCGAACGGG
RNAcentral lists this ribosomal RNA (253 nucleotides) under uncultured bacterium. Its description in RNAcentral is "partial 16S ribosomal RNA". It matches the Rfam family "Bacterial small subunit ribosomal RNA", at positions 524 to 776 of the family's 1533-position model. The record is from RNAcentral.